RNAcentral lists this ribosomal RNA (500 nucleotides) under uncultured bacterium. RNAcentral's name for it is "partial 16S ribosomal RNA". It matches the Rfam family "Bacterial small subunit ribosomal RNA", at positions 30 to 523 of the family's 1533-position model. The record is from RNAcentral.
AUUGAACGCUGGCGGCAUGCCUUACACAUGCAAGUCGAACGGCAGCACGGGAGCAAUCCUGGUGGCGAGUGGCGAACGGGUGAGUAAUAUAUCGGAACGUGCCCAGUCGUGGGGGAUAACGCGGCGAAAGCUGCGCUAAUACCGCAUACGACCUACGGAUGAAAGCGGGGGAGCGCAAGACCUCGCGCGAUUGGAGCGGCCGAUAUCAGAUUAGCUAGUUGGUGGGGUAAAAGCCCACCAAGGCGACGAUCUGUAGCUGGUCUGAGAGGACGACCAGCCACACUGGAACUGAGACACGGUCCAGACUCCUACGGGAGGCAGCAGUGGGGAAUUUUGGACAAUGGGCGCAAGCCUGAUCCAGCAAUGCCGCGUGCAGGAUGAAGGCCUUCGGGUUGUAAACUGCUUUUGUACGGAACGAAACGGCGAGCUCUAAUACAGUUUGCUAAUGACGGUACCGUAAGGAUAAGCACCGGCUAACUACGUGCCAGCCGCCGCUGUAA